This 253-nucleotide ribosomal RNA is filed under the name uncultured bacterium. RNAcentral describes it as "partial 16S ribosomal RNA". It matches the Rfam family "Bacterial small subunit ribosomal RNA", at positions 524 to 776 of the family's 1533-position model. The record is from RNAcentral.
UACGGAGGGUGCAAGCGUUAUCCGGAUUUACUGGGGUUAAAGGGUGCGUAGGUGGGUAGGUAAGUCAGUGGUGAAAUCUUCAAGCUUAACUUGGAAACUGCCAUUGAUACUAUUUAUCUUGAAUUAUCUGGAGGUAAGCGGAAUAUGUCAUGUAGCGGUGAAAUGCUUAGAUAUGACAUAGAACACCCAUUGCGAAGGCAGCUUACUACGGAUAUAUUUACACUGAGGCACGAAAGCGUGGGGAUCAAACAGG